Non-coding RNA from Triticum aestivum (bread wheat), 119 nucleotides. The record is from Rfam. NCBI's taxonomy places the organism in Eukaryota, Viridiplantae, Streptophyta, Magnoliopsida, Poales, Poaceae.
GCAUGCGAUCAUACCAGCACUAAAGCACCGGAUCCCAUCAGAACUCCGAAGUUAAGCGCACUUGGGCGAUAGUAGUACUAGGAUGGGUUACCUCCUGGGAAGUCCUCGUGUUGCAUUCC